AAACGAAUAAGUCGUAUAAAGUUCUAGGUAGAAGAAUGAUAAUGACAAUUUUCUAUCUAUAAGUCUUGACCAAAUUACGUGCCAGCAGUCGCGGCAACACGUAGAAGACUAGUGUUAUUCAUCUUUAUUAGGUUUAAAGGGUACCUAGACGGGAAAUCAAGCCUUUAUAAAUAAGAAAAAAAUAACCCUUUUUUGGGUUUAGCCAUCUCUGGGAUUCCCAGAGGAACUAAUUUCCUAGAGUUUUACGAGAGAAGGAGCGAAUUUCCGGAGGAGAGUUGAUAUUUUGUGAUACCGGAAGGACGGGUAACGGCGAAGGCAACCUUCUAUUAAAAACUGACGUUGAGGGACGAAGCCUUGGGUAACGAGAAGGAUUUGAUACCCUAGUAGUCCUUGGAGAAAACUAUGAAUGCCAUAGGAUAUUUAGAAACUCUUCUAAGCAUACUUUCUGCGUUGUUCGACUCAGACCAAUAGUUCACUCUAUGAAAAAAAAAAACUUUUCCGAGUGAAGAAAGGAAAGUUAAGCUAAAGUUCUCUACUUGAACUUUCCUUUUUUUAGUAGCAUUUAGCAAUGAAACUCGUUUUUGUUAAGGAAAAAAAAAACUGAUGGUUAUAUUUUUUUUUCCUUAAGCGUUUCAUGCUGUCACAGUUUUUAUGAUCCUAUAAAUGAAAGUGUAAGCAUUCCACCUCAUGAGUAAAGCGGCAACGCCCAAAUUGAAAUCAUUAGACCGUUUCUGAAACCAGUAGUGAAGUAUGUUAUUUAAUUCGAUAAUCCGCGAAUAACCUUACCACAUUAUGCAUUGAAUAUUAUUCAAUUAUUACAAGCGCUGCACGGCUGUCUUCAGUUAAUGUCGUGAGAUUUCGGUUCGUUCCAUAAAUUAACUAAAACCCUUGCUUUAUUUGUGUUUAUAAAGUAGUUCUCCGUUACAU
Molecule: ribosomal RNA, 927 nt
Filed under: Muellerella erratica
Lineage: Eukaryota; Fungi; Ascomycota; Eurotiomycetes; Verrucariales; Verrucariaceae
Description: partial small subunit ribosomal RNA
Rfam family: Bacterial small subunit ribosomal RNA
Source: RNAcentral